Non-coding RNA from Ceratobasidium sp. 395, 81 nucleotides. The record is from the annotation of a GenBank genome assembly. Lineage: Eukaryota; Fungi; Basidiomycota; Agaricomycetes; Cantharellales; Ceratobasidiaceae.
GGCCGCCUGGUGUAGUUGGUUAUCACGCAUCCUUCACAUCUGGAUCGGAUGAGGUCUUGGGUUCAAGUCCCAAGGUGGUCA